CUCCUACGGGGCGCAGCAGUGAGGAAUAUUGGUCAAUGGGCGGAAGCCUGAACCAGCCAAGUCGCGUGAGGGAAGAAGGCCCUGCGGGUCGCAGACCUCUUUGGACGGGGAGCAAGGCCGCCGACGUGUCGGCGGAAGGAGAGUACCCGUAGAACAAGCAUCGGCUAACUCCGUGCCAGCAGCCGCGGUAAUACGGAGGAUGCGAGCGUUAUCCGGAUUUAUUGGGUUUAGAGGGUGCGCAGGCGGCACGGCAAGCCGGCGGUCAAAACCCGGGGCUCAACCCCCCCCCUCCCGCGUA
This 298-nucleotide ribosomal RNA is filed under the name uncultured bacterium. RNAcentral describes it as "partial 16S ribosomal RNA". It matches the Rfam family "Bacterial small subunit ribosomal RNA", at positions 336 to 632 of the family's 1533-position model. The record is from RNAcentral.